UUAUUCAAACGAGAACUUUGAAGACUGAAGUGGAGAAGGGUUCCGCGUGAACAGCACUUGUGCGCGGGUGAGUCGAUCCUAAGAACCAGGGUAGAUCCGUUAUCACCCGUAUUCGAAAGGGAAACAGGUUAAUAUUCCUGUACCUCGGGUAGACUCGAAGGCGGUGACGCAAGUGAGCUCGCAGACGCUUGCACUCGUCGCGGGGAGAGCCCUCGUCUCUCUUUUAUAUUCAACAUACCCCGGAGGAAGGUGAACUUGAGAAAGGGUUACGUGAGUAGUACAGCCCGGCUCGGCUUGCCGGGUCCGACGUGCGAGGAGUAAGCCCAUGAAAAUGCGAGGGAGCGACAGGAGUCCUCUCCCGAGAUCGUACCCAUAACCGCAUCAGGUCUCCAAGGUGAGUAGCCUCUAGUCGAUAGAUCAAAGUAGGUAAGGGAAUUCGGCAAAUUAGAUCCGUAACUUCGGGAUAAGGAUUGGCUCUGAUUGUUGCGUGCACGGCUACCGCUGCGGACGUGCGUAGUUAUGUACUUCAAAGCUGUGCAAAUACCGAGCGAUAUCUACACAAGGAGUGGGGGUAACCAUCGGGGUUAGCGGCAGUGUUUCUAUCUAACCAUCCCCCCGUCGGUAUUCGGAUCGGCCCCCGGAUGUAACGCGUCCCGCGCACGGGCGCGAGGGCGAUGCCACGGAUGGGCGUGGCAGAUGGCUGAACCCAUCCUGUUGCUACGCGUGUAUGACACAACCGGGCGCGGCCCCUCCUAUACCAUGGUACCUCCGCGGGUGUCUCGGAACACGCAUCUGCUCUGGAAACUGGGAUCCGUGCAUGCGACUAUAUUAGAACUGGCGCGGACAACGGGAGUCCGACUGUUUACUAAAAACGUAGCAUCGUGAUGGUCCCUGCGGAUGUUGACACGAUGUGAAUCCUGCCCAGUGCUCUGUCCGUCAAUCCAGAGAAAUCCAGGCAAGCAUGGGUAAACGGCGGGAGUAACUAUGACUCUCUUAAGGUAGCCAAAUGCCUCGUCAUCUAAUUAGUGACGCGCAUGAAUGGAUUAACGAGAUUCCCACUGUCCCUAUCUACUAUCUAGCGAAGCCACAGCCAAGGGAACGGGCUUGGAAGAAACAGCGGGGAAAGAAGACCCUGUUGAGCUUGACUCUAUCCUGGCGCUGAGCGGCGUCUUAGGAGGUGUAGCAUAGGUGGGAGCGUAACGCGAUACUGAAAUACCACUACUCUCAAGAUCGUCUCUCUAACCCCGCUACCGCAGGCACGAGAAGGGUGUCGCGCGUCACCCCCGUGACAACCGUAACCCGGAUCACUGCAACCAUCCCUGGCGGGUAUAGCCUGGGGUGGUAUGUCUGCACACGGGGGACACCGCUAGCUGGGGAGUUCGGCUGGGGCGGUACAUCCGUUAAAAGACAACGCGGAUGUCCUACGAUCAGCUCACCAAGGACAGAAACCUCGGGUGGGGUAUAAGGAUAGAAGCUGAUUUGAUGCGGGCCCCCAGUAAGGGUCCACACUGCGGAAGCAAGGCCUACCGAUCCUUUAGUUCUUCUGGUCGUGAAGCUAGAGGUGACAGAAAAGUUACCACAGGGAUAACUGGUUCGUGGCAGCCAAGCGUUCAUAGCGACGUUGCUUUUUGAUUCUUCGAUGUCGGCUCUUCCUAUCAUUGUGAAGCAGGAUUCACAAAGCGUUGGAUUGUUCACCCACAAAUAGGGAACGUGAGCUGGGUUUAGACCGUCGUGAGACAGGUUAGUUUUACCCUACUGUUGCUCGAUCAUGUGAUAGUAGUCGAGCUGAGUACGAGAGGAACGGUUCGAUCGGAUACUUGGUACUGCGCUCGAUGGAGCCGUCGAUGGCGCGAAGCUACAUCCGCGGGUUAAUGACUGAGCGCCUCUAAAGUCAGAAACCUUGCUAGAAACAUGGUCGCGACCGGGCCGCACAGCACGCUACGCUACCCCCACCUCACGGCGCGAUCACCGUGAGCCGUGUCUAGCAUCACGCCCGCGCUGACACGCGCGGGCUCGCAAGUGCAUCCCCGGUUAACGGGGAGGGGGGUCGGUCGGGGGAUCCAUUGUAGACGACUCUGCUAAUGAUAACCGGGUACUGCAAGCGGGAGAGUGUGUCACACGAUUCGUUGAGGUUUAACCCGGGUUACCUAGAU
Molecule: ribosomal RNA, 2153 nt
Filed under: Lotharella globosa
Lineage: Eukaryota; Cercozoa; Chlorarachniophyceae
Description: partial Eukaryotic large subunit ribosomal RNA
Rfam family: Eukaryotic large subunit ribosomal RNA
Source: RNAcentral